Hypanus sabinus (Atlantic stingray) is the source of this 609-nucleotide long non-coding RNA. RefSeq lists it as uncharacterized. The record is from RefSeq and is a predicted model, not a curated record. Lineage: Eukaryota; Metazoa; Chordata; Chondrichthyes; Myliobatiformes; Dasyatidae. The transcript has 3 exons.
CAGGAGGAACGGUGACAGGCUCAGCCCGAUCAACACCGAUGGGUCUUCAGUUGAGAGGUGGGAGGAAACCAGAGCACUGGGAGGAAACCCGCACGUUCACAGGAAGGAACGUACAAGCCUCCUUGAAGAAGACUCCAGAAUUGAACUCCAAACUCCGAAGCCCCAAGCUGUGCUAUGCCGGUGCCCAUAAUGAAGGCAGACAAGACAAGACUGUUCAUGGAAGUAUUAUUUAGCACAAAGUUUUGCAAAAAGACGUGGUCAGGUGAUCAAAACACCGGUUGAAGAGGGUGGCUGGGGUCCUGUCGGAGUCCGUGAUCUACAGCUGCACUCGAACUGCGGUUCUUCACAAUUCCUGCUCUCGGAGCCCACCGAGCAGCCUAACGACCUCUUGAUAUCUCCAGGAGUGGCCUGGAAGAUGUCUGCCCUCAGGGUGGGGCUCUGUGGCCCUGUGGACGAUCCGAUUCCUCGCGGUGUUGCCAACUGAACUGUCAUGGGAAAUCAAAACGUCGGGACAGGAGUGUACACUGCUGUCGAAAUAAACAAUGCUGCAGACUGUAACAUGGAAACAGCGAGCAGUUGGCCCCCACCCCCACUGUAUCAGGAGCAAUA